This 1823-nucleotide long non-coding RNA is filed under the name Cairina moschata (Muscovy duck). RNAcentral describes it as "domestica (muscovy Duck (domestic type)) lncRNA (ENSCMMG00000013334.1)". Lineage: Eukaryota; Metazoa; Chordata; Aves; Anseriformes; Anatidae. The record is from RNAcentral.
AAUAAAUAUAUGGGGCUGGGACCCCCCCCCCAGGACCCCCCCGGGGUGGGAGCCCCCCCCCGUUGCACGCCCAGGGGGUGGGAGCCCCCCUUUGUGCCACCCCCCCAUUGCACACCCCCAUAGAUGCCCCCCCCUUACACCCCCAUAACCGUGCCCCCCCCUAUAUCCCAAUCCCCCCCCCCCCCCCCCCCCCCCCCCCCCCCCCCCCCCCCCCCCCCCCCCCCCCCCCCCCCCCCCCCCAUAUCCCCCCCCCGUCCCCCCCCCCCCCCCCCCCCCCCGGUGCGUUGCACACGCGCGUGCAAGGCGUGCUCAGUUGCAGGAUUACCGCAGCUUCGCGCGCACGGGGGGCCCGGGGGGCAGCGCGGCGCUGCAGCGCGUGGUGGGGCAGUUCAAUGGGGUCUCGCGCUGGGCCCAGCUCCUGGUGCUCAGCCCCACGGCGGCCCCACAGCGGGCGCGGGUCCUGGCCCGAUUCCUGCACGUGGCGCAGGUGUCCCUGGAGCUGCCCCAGACGGAGGAGGAGCUGUACGGCCUGUCCCUGCAGCGAGAGCCGCGCACGGUGCGGGGGGCAAAGGGGCGUGCAAGGGGCGUGCAAGGGGCGUGCAAGGGGGGGCAAAGGGGGUGUGCAAAGGGGGGAGUAAGGGAUGUGCAAGGGGUGUGCAAAGGGGUGUGCAAGGGAGGUCAAAGGGGCGUGCAAGGGGUGUGCAAGGGGCGUGCAAAGGGGGGAGCAAGGGGUGUGCAAGGGGUGUGCAAAGGGGGAGCAAGGGGGUGUGCAAGGGGUGUGCAAAGGGGUGUGCAAAGGGGGGAGCAAAGGGGGGAGCAAGGGGUGUGCAAGUGAUGUGCAAGGGGGUGUGCAAGGGGGUGUGCAAAGGGGUGUGCAAGGCGUGUGUAGAGGGGGACAAAGGGGGGAGCAAGGGGUGUGCAAAUGGGUGUGCAAGGGGGUGUGCAAGGGAGGUCAAAGGGGUGUGCAAGGGGCGUGCAAGGGGGGCUGGAGGGUGGGCACCUGUCUCUUAUACACAUCUAGAUGUGUAUAAGAGACAGGUAUUACAGUACUCUGGGGAGGGGUUGGGGGAGAUUUGGGGGGGUCCUGGGGGGUCUGGGGAGGGGUCCUGGGGGCUAUGGGGUGGUUGUGGGGCUGGGGGGCAAUGGGGCUGACCCUGUGGGGUGACCCCACGGGGCGAUGCUGUGGGGCUGAUUCUAUGGGGUGAUGCUGUGGGGUGACCCCAUGGGGUGAUGCUGUGGGGUGACCCCACGGGGCGAUGCUGUGGGGCUGAUUCUAUGGGGUGAUGCUAUGGGGUGACCCCAUGGGGCUGAUUUCUAUGGGGUGGCCCCAUGGGGUGCCGCUAUGGGGUGCUGCUAUGGGGUGACCCCACGGGGCGAUGCUAUGGGGUGAUGCUGUGGGGUUGAUUCUAUGGGGCUGAUUCUAUGGGGCGAUGCUGUGGGGCGGUGCUGUGGGGCGGCCCCACGGGGUGAUGCUGUGGGGCGAUGCUAUGGGGUGGUGCUGUGGGGUUGAUGCUGUGGGGUGGCCCCACGGGGUGAUGCUAUGGGGCUGAUUCUAUGGGGCGAUGCUAUGGGGUUGAUGCUGUGGGGCGGUGCUGUGGGGCGGCCCCCCGGGCUGACCCCCGGCCGCAGUCGGUUUUCCGCACCUUCGACGUGGACGGGGACGGGCGCAUCUCCCGCGAGGAGUUCGGGAUCCUGCGGGAAAACUUCCCCCAGCUGCACCCGCACCACUUCGGGGAGCUCGACACCGACCGGUGCGCGACCCCCGGCCCCAAGACCCCCCCGGGACCCCCAAAUCCCCCCGGGACCCCCCAAAUCCCCCCGGG